RNAcentral lists this ribosomal RNA (490 nucleotides) under uncultured bacterium. RNAcentral describes it as "partial 16S ribosomal RNA". It matches the Rfam family "Bacterial small subunit ribosomal RNA", at positions 29 to 505 of the family's 1533-position model. The record is from RNAcentral.
AGUGAACGCUGGCGGUAGGCCUAACACAUGCAAGUCGAACGGCAGCACAGUAAGAGCUUGCUCUUACGGGUGGCGAGUGGCGGACGGGUGAGGAAUACAUCGGAAUCUACUUUUUCGUGGGGGAUAACGUAGGGAAACUUACGCUAAUACCGCAUACGACCUACGGGUGAAAGCAGGGGAUCUUCGGACCUUGCGCGAUUGAAUGAGCCGAUGUCGGAUUAGCUAGUUGGCGGGGUAAAGGCCCACCAAGGCGACGAUCCGUAGCUGGUCUGAGAGGAUGAUCAGCCACACUGGAACUGAGACACGGUCCAGACUCCUACGGGAGGCAGCAGUGGGGAAUAUUGGACAAUGGGCGCACGCCUGAUCCAGCCAUACCGCGUGGGUGAAGAAGGCCUUCGGGUUGUAAAGCCCUUUUGUUGGGAAAGAAAAGCAGCAGGUUAAUACCCCGCUGUUCUGACGGUACCCAAAGAAUAAGCACCGGCUAACUUCG